RNAcentral lists this ribosomal RNA (179 nucleotides) under uncultured Hyphomicrobiales bacterium. Its description in RNAcentral is "uncultured Rhizobiales bacterium partial 16S ribosomal RNA". It matches the Rfam family "Bacterial small subunit ribosomal RNA", at positions 525 to 704 of the family's 1533-position model. Lineage: Bacteria; Pseudomonadati; Pseudomonadota; Alphaproteobacteria; Hyphomicrobiales. The record is from RNAcentral.
ACGAAGGGGGCUAGCGUUGCUCGGAAUCACUGGGCGUAAAGGGCGCGUAGGCGGCUUGCCAAGUCGGGGGUGAAAGCCCGUGGCUCAACCACGGAAUGGCUUCGAUACUGGCAGGCUUGAGACCCGCCGAGGACAGCGGAACUGCGAGUGUAGAGGUGAAAUUCGUAGAUAUGUCAAGA